UACGAGGGGUGCAAGCGUUGUUCGGAAUCAUUGGGCGUAAAGCGGGUGUAGGUGGCCAAUCAAGUCAGAGGUGAAAGCCCAGGGCUCAACCCUGGAAGUGCCUUUGAUACUGGUUGGCUUGAGUGUGGGAGAGGGUGCUAGAAUUCCUGGUGUAGUGGUGAAAUACGUAGAGAUCAGGAGGAACACCGGUGGCGAAGGCGGGUGCCUGGCCCAACACUGACACUCAGACCCGAAAGCGUGGGUAGCAAACAGG
Molecule: unclassified non-coding RNA, 253 nt
Filed under: uncultured Pseudobdellovibrionaceae bacterium
Lineage: Bacteria; Pseudomonadati; Bdellovibrionota; Bdellovibrionia; Bdellovibrionales; Pseudobdellovibrionaceae
Description: uncultured Bdellovibrionaceae bacterium contains 16S-23S intergenic spacer region
Rfam family: Bacterial small subunit ribosomal RNA
Source: RNAcentral